Non-coding RNA from Vicia faba (fava bean), 240 nucleotides. Lineage: Eukaryota; Viridiplantae; Streptophyta; Magnoliopsida; Fabales; Fabaceae. The record is from the annotation of a GenBank genome assembly.
AUGGCGUGGAUAAUUGAUAUUGUAGAUCCAAUUUUACAUGGAAACAUCUCUCAUGCAUCAACUGCAAGACAUAUAUGGGAGGAUCUAGAAGGAACCAUGUUGAACACUGAACCUUUGCCUAUGCUACAACGUGUCUUUAAUCACGUCCUCGGAGAAGAGGCCAGGAUCACAAGUGAAAGAGAUGAGAUGGUCACAGUCAGGGGAGAAUCAGGAGGAUAUGCUUUUUAUGCUCCAAAUUAA